This is a long non-coding RNA of Cyprinus carpio (common carp), 479 nucleotides long. RefSeq lists it as uncharacterized. The transcript is spliced from 3 exons. The record is from RefSeq and is a predicted model, not a curated record. NCBI's taxonomy places the organism in Eukaryota, Metazoa, Chordata, Actinopteri, Cypriniformes, Cyprinidae.
AGACCAAACACAGCUGUUUGUGAUUACUGGAAAAGUCGUGUAUUUAAUCAUUUAGUUUAGAUUAAUUUCAUUGUAAGGCUGUAUCAAUCCGAUUAUAUAUGCCUAUUUUAUAGUACAAAUGCCUUCUUCAAAACCACAAAUAUUUGAAUGGGGGCUCAGUGUAAGUUUGGUUUGUGAAACACUAGCGCCCUCUGGAGGAAGACAACUUUCAUUAGGAAAUGGUUAUGAAGUAGCAGAAUUGUUGUCGCAAACCAGCUCUAAAGUUUCCUGACCCCGUUGUUUAGUUUGUUUCUAGCGGGAAAUGACCCCUGCUUUAAUUAAACGCGGUAGGACUGAUUGUCUCUCGUUUAUGUGGACUUAGUAUAAGGAUGAAAUGUUCCCAUCAUCAGCUGACAAUUCAGGGAAAUGCUACCAGUCAGCCAUUAUUUGGAUCGUUUGCAUCCUCUGAGUCCUUGGGAGACCAAAGGCUCUGACAGGUA